AUACGGAGGGUGCAAGCGUUAAUCGGAAUUACUGGGCGUAAAGGGUUCGUAGGCGGUUAUUUAAGUCAGAUGUGAAAGCCCCGGGCUCAACCUGGGAAUUGCAUCUGAUACUGGGUAACUAGAGUUUAAGAGAGGAGUGUGGAAUUUCCGGUGUAGCGGUGAAAUGCAUAGAGAUCGGACGGAACAUCAGUGGCGAAGGCGGCACUCUGGCUUAAAACUGACGCUGAGGAACGAAAGCGUGGGUAGCAAACAGGAUUAGAAACCCUAGUAGUCC
This 274-nucleotide ribosomal RNA is filed under the name uncultured bacterium. Its description in RNAcentral is "partial 16S ribosomal RNA". It matches the Rfam family "Bacterial small subunit ribosomal RNA", at positions 523 to 796 of the family's 1533-position model. The record is from RNAcentral.